AUUGAACGCUGGCGGCAUGCUUUACACAUGCAAGUCGAACGGUAACAGGUUAAGCUGACGAGUGGCGAACGGGUGAGUAAUGCAUCGGAACGUGCCCGGUCGUGGGGGAUAACGCAGCGAAAGCUGCGCUAAUACCGCAUACGAUCUGAGGAUGAAAGCGGGGGACCGUAAGGCCUCGCGCGAUCGGAGCGGCCGAUGUCAGAUUAGGUAGUUGGUGGGGUAAAGGCUCACCAAGCCGACGAUCUGUAGCUGGUCUGAGAGGACGACCAGCCACACUGGGACUGAGACACGGCCCAGACUCCUACGGGAGGCAGCAGUGGGGAAUUUUGGACAAUGGGCGCAAGCCUGAUCAGCAAUGCCGCGUGCAGGAAGAAGGCCUUCGGGUUGUAAACUGCUUUUGUACGGAGCGAAAAGGCUCUCUAAUACAGGGGGCUCAUGACGGUACCGUAAGAAUAAGCACCGGCUAACUACGUGCCAGCAGCCGCGGUAA
RNAcentral lists this ribosomal RNA (490 nucleotides) under uncultured bacterium. RNAcentral describes it as "partial 16S ribosomal RNA". It matches the Rfam family "Bacterial small subunit ribosomal RNA", at positions 29 to 523 of the family's 1533-position model. The record is from RNAcentral.